GUCGUACGUGGGUGAACCACACGUGCGCGUAUGGGGCCAAGAGCGACCCCCCGCCACCGCCCGCUCCGGUGCUGGUUCGUUCUCGAAACCCUCGGUCCCCUUUCUCUUCACCGAGGAACAUCAUUUCCACCAUUGCGUCUAGAACAGAGCAGGUCGUGGCGGCGGCGCUUUCCGUGCUUUGGCAGCCGUAGAAAAAUGAAGGAUGCUGGCCUGGAGUUCCUCCUCGAUGCAGACAUGCAGUAGACAGGUUCCCCCAGCGGGAGGAGUUCGCCAAGAUCCUUGAGAACCCAGAUCCUUGAGAUUCCCUCAUCUGGUGUUGUUGCCGACGAGCGAGGCCAACCGUGCCGAACCUGCAGACUCAAAUGCUGGGUCUGGUUGCAGCCAACGGGUCGGCGGUGAUGACCUCGACAAAAGACAAGGUGCAGUUCGCCGGAAAGAUUACGGCCAGGGAGUGCACCUCCAGACCGGACACCAUGUCCGUCAAGGAUGAGUGCUCUGGAGCAGUCGAUUUGCAAGUAUGCAGAGGAACCUACGAAGAGUGUUGUACGCCCAGCACUUGGUUUGACUUUUGAUUCACUUGGUGAGGCAUAUGACUACUACAGUUUGCACAUCUGGGAGAUCGGUUUCGGAGUUAGAUAUGGUAAGAGUAGACUCAACGCCGAGAGGACAAUGUGCAUGCACGAAAUAGUCUGCGGUUGCUCGGUGAGUACUGAAUUUUGAUUACCUACGUAUGAAGCUAAAAUGAUAGGCAUGCCUUUGGUGCGCAAUCCUUGUAAAACUGUACCGACUUUCUGUUUGUGGAAAUGUAUGUUGGGGAAACCAGAGGCAGAAAAUAGUAGAUCAUGCAGGUGCGAGUGUCCGUUGUUGAUUAGAUUGUUGCGAGCGUCGGACAACAGCUGGUAAGGGCAGUAGUCCAGGUCGUAUGGGCAAACCUGAGCCGUCUCUAGCUGUGGCUGUACUUCACGUCUGCAUGUGGGUCCGCUGUGCGGAACUUGUCGAGGGUUUGGAAGGGGGAUUUGACGAGCAGUGAGGCCGAGAAUUAGUGUAAAGGGACCUCGUGGCAAUGGCGUGUGCGGCGGCUGCGACUUCUUGCGGCGGAGCAGCGAUGGAAGCCUGCGGGAUCGAGUUCCCGCUGGAUCUAGUUGACUGGUGAGUUUCUGUACCCUGGUGCCCGUCUAUGGAUCUGUGUGCUUCCAUGUGUUUCCCAACUUCCCACCGCAGCUUUUGACUCUAGCUGUGGCGCAGGCGAAGAUUUAUUUGGAAUGUGAGUGAGACAUUUUUAAAAAUUCAAAAAUGAGUGCUGAUUUUGAUGAAUUAUGAUUGAAGCUGAUUUGUAUGUUGUCAUAAGUCUGUAUGUGACGCAGACUUACAAAAGACUGGGCUUCUGCCAUUGAGAAGGAAUGCAGCCAAUGAGAGAGCAUUGGAAGACGAUGAUCAAUGUCGGCGUAUUUGUGACCUAGCUAGGGCGGCACUGGAGUGGGUUGAUCAAGCCAACAGUUAUCCCCAUCGAACUGAAGUUGCUGGUGUGCAAGCAAGGAAUAUGCAGACCAUGGUUGGCGAUGUGGAAAACAUUGGAGGAGCAGCUCUGAUGAACAGGGUACAGUGCGAUGACAACAAUGCUGCUAUGGGUGAAGAUGGUGUGAGCAGGGAGAACUCAAGCUGAGCAUAUCCAGUGAUGCAUAAAUGUUAUGGAAGGGCACUUCUGGAACACGUGCACUCGGCGUUUGGUUUUGAUCAGAAUAAAAUGUGAUAACUAGUUUUGUUAAUCUGUGUGUUGUAGUAUGAGUAUUUUUCUGGUGUGUUUCAAUGAGCAUUUGCUCCACCCUUGUUCCUCCAGUUCGGUAUGUGAGGCCAAACUGUGGUAGUGAGUAAACUUUGUUCAGUAUGAUCCUGCUUGUGCUUCGGUUGA
This is a long non-coding RNA of Triticum aestivum (bread wheat), 1909 nucleotides long. RefSeq lists it as uncharacterized. The record is from RefSeq and is a predicted model, not a curated record. NCBI's taxonomy places the organism in Eukaryota, Viridiplantae, Streptophyta, Magnoliopsida, Poales, Poaceae. The transcript is spliced from 5 exons.